GGCCACAGCGAGAAGGAGGAGGAGAAGGAGGAGGAGGAGGAGGAGUGGGCUUCGGGACUCCCCUAAGGGUCACCUUUCCUAAUGAUAUGGUUAUUGUGAGCGCAUGCACACGACACAGCCCACUCCCUGCACUGAGCCUUGGCCAGAGUCACGCAGGAAAAGACGCAAACUAAGGUAGCAGCCCAGGCCGUUCUGCUAGUUACUGCCGGUGGAACCUCGAGAGCCUUCAGUGUGCGUGGACUUUGCUUGGAAAACGAAAGAUUGGGCAGGGACGAGACAAAGACAGUUUGCUUCCCUGAGAAGGGAGCAGGCCCCUAGGGAAGAGAGAGCUGCCCAGUUAGGAAAUCAGAUUCUUGUUACUUUGAAAGAGAGAGUGAGGCUGACAACUUUGUGCAAUUCUGCCUCACUUGACAUCACUGGUGAUAACAUUUUGGUCUUCUUCUUGAGUACAAAGCACAACCACCAACCAGUUAAGACAGCAACCCUGAGAUGGAUACAUUUAGCCUUAAAGACAACUGCGAGUUUGAGGGAUGGGCCAAUCAGGGUCCCUCAAUUCCUCAAUUGGAACUCACUGGCAUCUGGGGUAUCUGAGAAGAAGAAGGAAGAGGAGGAGGAAGAAGAAGAAGAAAUAAUGAGGAGGAGGAGGAGGAGGAGGAGGAAGAGAAUCUCCUUAAGGAAGAAGUCCAAUAUCAAGUUGAUGAUAAAAUGCUGAUUCAGUAGUUCUAUAACAUUUUUCAUAUUUUGCUGCUUUAAGUCUCAUUUUCUCAGGAGAAUAUAGUAAUAACUUAAUAUUGCUUAUUUUAAAUCAUUAUCAAUGUGCUCUUUUGAAUCUAGAAGCAAGUGCAGUGGACAAGAGUAUCAGGCCUGGAGUCAGAAAGACCUUAGUUCAAAUUUGACCUCAGACACUUACUAGCUGUGUGACCCUGGUCAAGUCACAACUCUGACUUAGUUUCCUCAUCUGUAAAAUGGAGAUAAUAAUAGCAUCUCCCUCUCAGGGUUGUGAAGAACAAAUGAAAUUAUAAUAAUAAAAUUACUUAGCAUAGUGCUUGGCA
This 1052-nucleotide long non-coding RNA is filed under the name Monodelphis domestica (gray short-tailed opossum). Its description in RNAcentral is "lncRNA (ENSMODG00000042442.1)". Lineage: Eukaryota; Metazoa; Chordata; Mammalia; Didelphimorphia; Didelphidae. The record is from RNAcentral.